Juglans microcarpa x Juglans regia is the source of this 148-nucleotide long non-coding RNA. RefSeq lists it as uncharacterized. The record is from RefSeq and is a predicted model, not a curated record. The transcript is spliced from 3 exons. NCBI's taxonomy places the organism in Eukaryota, Viridiplantae, Streptophyta, Magnoliopsida, Fagales, Juglandaceae.
GUCUGAAACUCCAAUUUUCCAAGUCCAUUUUCUGUCGGGAGAUUUCAGAAACUAAAAGCAUGAUGGUUCACAUUUGAGAAAUACUUGUAGACGCAGGAAAGUCUAGAUGACAGUAAUAAUCUAAAUGUUUUUUUUUUGUUGAUCAGUU